UAGGGAAUCUUCCACAAUGGGCGAAAGCUGAUGGAGCAACGCCGCGUGUGUGAUGAAGGGUUUCGGCUCGUAAAACACUGUUGUGAAGAGAAGAAUGACAUUGAGAGUAACUGUUCAAUGUGUGACGGUAUCUUACCCGAAAGGAACGGCUAAAUACGUGC
RNAcentral lists this ribosomal RNA (161 nucleotides) under uncultured bacterium. RNAcentral's name for it is "partial 16S ribosomal RNA". It matches the Rfam family "Bacterial small subunit ribosomal RNA", at positions 355 to 508 of the family's 1533-position model. The record is from RNAcentral.